UUAAUUGAAACCAAAUAUAGAGGUAUAUCACUGUUAAUGAUAUCAUUGAGUUUAAACUCCGAUUAAA
This 67-nucleotide transfer RNA is filed under the name Anthomyza sp. DY-2021. RNAcentral's name for it is "tRNA-Asn". Lineage: Eukaryota; Metazoa; Arthropoda; Insecta; Diptera; Anthomyzidae. The record is from RNAcentral.